AACAACUCAAGCUAAAUGUUUCAUAACAAUUCCUGGCAUGCUUCAAAAUGAUUAUUCCGUUAAUGUGUCUGACCUAACAACAAUCUCCACUAUUAAGAUCCUAAAUAGGAUUCAUGCAGCAUUCUAAUGCCUAUGAAUUUCUCAGUUGCUGAUUGAGAAAGAUAAUAAAAAGUGAAUGGCAGUAAAUGUUAUGCUUGCCACAUUGGGAGCCAGUCACUUCUCCACUAAGGGGUUUAAUAGGUGUAGUAAAUGUUAUGCUUGCCAGAUUGGGAGCCAGUCACUUCUCCACUAAGGGGUUUAAUAGGUGUAGUAAAUGUUAUGCUUGCCAGAUUGGGAGCCAGUCACUUCUCCACUAAGGGGUUUAAUAGGUUAAGUAAAUGUUAUGCUUGCCAGAUUGGGAGCCAGUCACUUCUCCACUAAGGGGUUUAAUAGGUGAAGUAAAUGUUAUGCUUGCCAGAUUGGGAGCCAGUCACUUCUCCACUAAGGGGUUUAAUAGGUGUAGUAAAUGUUAUGCUUGCCAGAUUGGGAGCCAGUCACUUCUCCACUAAGGGGUUUAAUAGGUGAAGUAAAUGUUAUGCUUGCCAGAUUGGGAGCCAGUCACUUCUCCACUAAGGGGUUUAAUAGGUGAAGUAAAUGUUAUGCUUGCCAGAUUGGGAGCCAGUCACUUCUCCACUAAGGGGUUUAAUAGGUGUAGUAAAUGUUAUGCUUGCCAGAUUGGGAGCCAGUCACUUCUCCACUAAGGGGUUUAAUAGGUGUAGUAAAUGUUAUGCUUGCCAGAUUGGGAGCCAGUCACUUCUCCACUAAGGGGUUUAAUAGGUGAAGUAAAUGUUAUGCUUGCCAGAUUGGGAGCCAGUCACUUCUCCUCUAAGGGAUUUAAUAAGUCCAGGCAGAGGCAUGCCAUGAAGGGUACAGGGUAGGAUAAAAUAAACAU
This is a long non-coding RNA of Oncorhynchus keta (chum salmon), 931 nucleotides long. RefSeq lists it as uncharacterized. The record is from RefSeq and is a predicted model, not a curated record. Lineage: Eukaryota; Metazoa; Chordata; Actinopteri; Salmoniformes; Salmonidae. The transcript has 5 exons.